CAGCACCUCAAGUGGUCAGGAUGAUUAUUGGGCCUAAAGCAUCCGUAGCCGGCGCUGUAAGUUUUCGGUUAAAUCUGUACGCUCAACGUACAGGCUGCCGGGAAUACUGCAGCGCUAGGGAGUGGGAGAGGUAGACGGUACUCGGUAGGGAGGGGUAAAAUCCUUUGAUCUAUUGAUGACCACCUGUGGCGAAGGCGGUCUACCAGAACACGUCCGACGGUGAGGGAUGAAAGCUGGGGGAGCAAACCGGAUUAGAGACCCGAGUAGUCC
This 270-nucleotide ribosomal RNA is filed under the name uncultured archaeon. RNAcentral's name for it is "partial 16S ribosomal RNA". It matches the Rfam family "Archaeal small subunit ribosomal RNA", at positions 477 to 747 of the family's 1478-position model. The record is from RNAcentral.